UACGAAGGGUGCGAGCGUUGUCCGGAAUUAUUGGGCGUAAAGAGCUCGUAGGCGGUCUGUCGCGUCGGUCGUGAAAACUUGGGGCUUAACCCUGAGCUUGCGGUCGAUACGGGCAUGACUGGAGUUCGGCAGGGGAGACUGGAAUUCCUGGUGUAGCGGUGAAAUGCGCAGAUAUCAGGAGGAACACCGGUGGCGAAGGCGGGUCUCUGGGCCGAUACUGACGCUGAGGAGCGAAAGCUAGGGGAGCAAACAGG
This 254-nucleotide ribosomal RNA is filed under the name uncultured bacterium. RNAcentral describes it as "partial 16S ribosomal RNA". It matches the Rfam family "Bacterial small subunit ribosomal RNA", at positions 524 to 776 of the family's 1533-position model. The record is from RNAcentral.